UGUUAGUUAUUUACAGUCUUGGCAUGACUGCUUCCCAAGUAGUAAAUAUAUUCUGGCAUAAUUAAAGCAAUUGCACUUCCUUUGCAGGCAAAACCUCUGAGAUGGUAUCUCUGGAGGGAGAUGUUGGAACUGACAGAGAAGCUGCCAACUGCUGUUUAUCUGUUAACCAGUACCUCAGAUUAACAAUAAUGAAAAUAGUAAGAGACUUGUAGUAUCUGGUUUGUACAGUAUGUCAGCACCAAAGCACCGAGGAGCUGUUACUUGAAUUCAGAUGCAAGUUCUGCAGGAAAAAAUGUCUGCCUGAUCUGAUAACUGAGAAUGACAACACAAUGGGCUAUAUUGAAAGGGGCAAUAAAGAUGCUUUACUUACA
Molecule: long non-coding RNA, 371 nt
Filed under: Manacus vitellinus (golden-collared manakin)
Lineage: Eukaryota; Metazoa; Chordata; Aves; Passeriformes; Pipridae
Description: lncRNA (ENSMVIG00005005492.1)
Source: RNAcentral